This 334-nucleotide unclassified non-coding RNA is filed under the name soil metagenome. Its description in RNAcentral is "partial contains 5.8S ribosomal RNA, internal transcribed spacer 2, and large subunit ribosomal RNA". The stretch from base 1 to 120 matches the Rfam family "5.8S ribosomal RNA", at positions 35 to 154 of the family's 154-position model. The record is from RNAcentral.
GAUGAAGAACGUAGCGAAAUGCGAUAAGUAAUGUGAAUUGCAGAAUUCAGUGAAUCAUCGAAUCUUUGAACGCAAAUUGCGCCCGCCAGUAUUCUGGCGGGCAUGCCUGUUCGAGCGUCAUUUCAACCAUCAAGCCCUGCUUGCGUUGGGGUCCUGCGGCUGCCCGCAGGCCCUGAAAACCAGUGGCGGGCUCGCUAGUCACACCGAGCGCAGUAAUACAUCUCGCUUUGGGCGUGCGGCGGGUUCUUGCCGUUAAACACCCCCUUUUUACCAAGGUUGACCUCGGAUCAGGUAGGAAUACCCGCUGAACUUAAGCAUAUCAAUAAGCGGAGGA